This 5472-nucleotide long non-coding RNA is filed under the name Coffea arabica (coffee). RNAcentral's name for it is "long non-coding RNA (CARA_LNC000189)". Lineage: Eukaryota; Viridiplantae; Streptophyta; Magnoliopsida; Gentianales; Rubiaceae. The record is from RNAcentral.
AGCCACAAUCUUUCCUUUUCCUUUGCUUACUAUGAACCGAGAGAGAAACACAAAAAGCCGCUACCAUUUCUCUUCCUACUCACCAAAAGCUGAGAUCCAUUCUUUCCCUGCAAUUUCUAAGCUUUAAUUAGGCAGCAAGGAAACACCGACUCAGUAGUUAGAACAUCGGGUAGGAGCAGAAAAUUGUUUCAGCCAAGAAACUGUGAGAAACUAGUACGUGUCAGUAGCCUUCCAUUUGACCGAGAGGAAGAGUAAAAGAAACAUAAUCUUUCUUUCUUCCUUAACCUAUUAAAACAGAAAAGAAACAACAAGAGAAUUAGGCACUUCCUUCGUCCCUUCAACCGUAAACGUCAACCAAGAAAACAAGGAAACUCUAGCUCAGUUAGCCACGGAUUCGAGAGGGAGAGAGAGCUGAACUUUCCAGUCCACAAACGUGAAGAAACCAGAGGUAGUUAACUACUUUUCUUCUUCAAUUUCCUGCUACUUCUAGUUAGUAAUGUUUUAGGUUGAGUUAUAACCAAGAAAAGAAUCAUCAAAGUCGGAAGUUUGUUUAAAGUUUCUGCAUGUUGUCCAAUAGAAAAGCUGCAAUUUUGGUUCUUUUUAAAAAAAAAAAAAGAAUUUGCUAGAUUAUCAGUAGAAUCCACGCUUUAUGCUCUGUAUAUUCUUAUUUGGUUACGCAUAUAAGUUCUGCGGUGAAAAACUUAACUCUUGUGGCUGGAAUUCUUGUUUGGAGGACUGCAUGGCUGCUGGAAAAUUUCCAACUUGCCCAUGAUGAAUUUUCUGGUUUAAAACUGGAAUUUGAUGAGAAGUUUUUGCUUGAUUUCAAACUUACAUAAUCUUAUUGCAAUGUUUAUGUGAAUGCAUGUCGAAUUUGGUUGAUAUUUGAUGCAUUAAAUGAAAUGUUAGUGAAGAUUUAUGGCCGAAAACUUCAACAUUGAACCUGAGAAUGCUGUUACGUUUUCUUAGACUUCGAUUUCAUCUUAUAACCUGAAAUUUAUGCAUAUAUUGAUCAAAUAACAUCCCUACUCCUCUGUUUUACUCUGUAUAUUGCGAUUGUCCUGAUUUGGGAGGAAAUAACUAAAUCUUAGGAAAGAAAUGAGAGCUGGUCAAGCAUGCGAAGCUGUUGGCAGAUUUGGGUUGAUUGGAUGAAUUCGAUUGUAAUACUGAGUUUUUCUGAAUUUUUUAGCUAAAUAUUAAUAAAAAAAAAACUAUCCAUAACUGAAUGAUAGUAAAAUGUACCUUGAAUUUGAGGAAGUUUAAAGAGGAAAAUAGCAAACAAAAGGAAAAAACUUGACUACCCAUUGCUGGAAAACUGUUUUGAACCAUUCUAAAAUAAGUGCUAAAAUUUUGAGUUUAACUUUGAAUUCUACAAUGGAACUUGAACCAAAACUAACCAAAACCUCCUCAAACUAUUUUAUAACAGUUUUACUUGUGAAAAUUCAUCCAAAAUAUAGGAUAAAAUCAAAGAAGUUCAUAGUAAUACUAAGUUGCCAAUCUCUAGAAAAUUUAUUAAUUUUGAAUUUUGAUUUCUAAAAUGACCUUUAGGACCUAGAUUCCAACUUUUAUAAGAAAAGAUAAGUACUAAGAUUACCUCAAAACAAAAGAAAUAAAAUCUUGGAUCAUACAUAUAGAUAUAUAUAUAUAUAUACACACACACUUUUAGCCAAUUGUGUCAUAUUAAGUUGAAUUUAGUUAAAAGAAUCAAGUAAGUCUAAACAGCUAGAAUAAUCACUUAAACCAUUAAUUUCACCAAGUAUUACAAUUCAACAUCACUUUAAGAAAAUUUUAACAAAUAAUCUAAUAAAUUUACAAAUAUCUCAGGAGUCGAGGGUGAAUCGGAUGAGAGACCGAGCACCGAGAAGUGAAUUUCAACUACUUUGGGUGAGUGUUUCCGAUUUUAUGUGUUCAACUGCUUAUGUGUACUUAAGUGAAAUUGUGUGACAAAUGUACUUAUUAUGAAAUAUUGUUAUGUGAUUCAUUGUAAAAUAUAUCUCAAUUGUCCCUCGCCUUCUAAGUCGAGGGUGUACUUUAUCGCACUCAACUUAGUUAAGCUUGAAGGUUGAUAAUUAAUCAAGUGAUAUUGUAAGUGUGCAUGACUGUAAGCCGUGUAUGUACUUUAUCACACUGGCCAAACUAGGCCCAGAACCCUCUGUUCAACGAACUAUUCGAGCCAGCAAAGGGCUUGGUCGAGUAGGAUGGUAACUUUGGGUAAGUGUUUCGAUAUGCUCGAGUAUUACCACGGAGUAGCAGAUUACUGAUAUUGAUAUGGCCAUCUAAAUGAGGGAAGUGUUUAUUGUUUUGAAGGGUAUAAUGAGGAGUUGAGUGGAGUGUGUAACAUCCUGAAUAUUAGGAGGUUGUUUGUGAAGAAAAUAUUAAAGUGUAUUUCUUUGGGUUUGAUUUAAAACCUAAUUUUGUUUUAAAAGAUUAGAAACCCUAAAAUUGUAGCCAAAAAACCCUAGUUUACUUUUGACUAACCGGUUUUCCUAAAUCUCUCCUAUUUUAAUUGAAACCCUAAUUUUAAUUACUGGAGUUGGAAAAUUCCUCACAUUUUCUUAAAAAUUUCCUUUUAGUUGAAAAUUUUCAUCUAUUAAAGCCCUACUAUCCAAUUAUUCCAUAAUAAGUGCAAAUGAAUCUAGAAAGUAGGGUUUUAUUCCUCGGUUUCAAGUUUGGAGCAAAAUUAGGGUUUUCGCGAUUUUCCGCCGGAUGAAUUUUCGAUACGGAGCAAGGACCAAAUUGGGUGAUUAAAAGUGACUUUUAAGUGAGAAAUAAUAUGUGAGUAGUAGCAAUGAUAUAAGGUUAGUGAAUGGGAAGUAAAAACACUAGUACGUGAGUUUUUAAGAAAAACGGCGCGAACCGGCGGGUCCCGCGCGCUACCGAUUGAACGCACCACUUGACCACCACUUUCUUACCCUACAAGCUCAUUGAUAAUUGAGCAAAAUAUCCUCUCACUACCAGAUAAGUCUGACCGAAAAUUGUGGCUCAAAGGCAAGGAAAGAAAGAGAAAAUUUUGUGGCCAAGAUUAGUCCAAGUGUUGGCAAAAAUUGUGGUCACAAUUAGCCCUAAUCUUCUUACUUCCUUAUAAGACAAACCAAGCUCCAUCUUCCUUCAUUUUUCUGCUAAGGAGCCGAGAGAGAGAGAGAGUAAGAACAAGAGAAAAUUUCUUCAUUUCACCUUCAAAUCCAACAACUUAGUGAGAAAAUAAACAAAGUAAACCGAUUAAACUUGUUCUUGAGUGACUAGGUGGUGAUUUGUGGUAAGUUUUUGGAAGGAGGAAGCUUGGGCUACUCUUUGUGUCCUCUAUUCAAGGUAAGAGAGCUUAUCUUUCUAAGUUUUGCUUUCAAUUUUGUUAAAUUAAGUUUAGUAGUUGAUUAUAGUGGUGGAAUCAUGGAUGAUUAGCAUGUUUUAGAAGUUUUUCCCCAAUUUAUUUGAUGAACUAGGGCUUGUGGAAAUUCUGCCCAAAUUUAUUGUAUGAUGCUUAUAUGUUGAAUUAAGAUUAUAAGAGAGGUUUUGGUAGUGUUUGAAGUGGGAAAUUAAGGAAAGUUCCACUAGAAACAAAAAAUUCCAGAUUUCUGGAAAUUCUUGCUUCCUUUCUGUCCGAAUUUGUAUCUGUGUGUUAGAGGCCGAAUUUGCCUUAGGUCAAAGAAGAAAAGUUGUAUAGAAUGACAUUUUAUAGGUGCCUACAAAAUUUCAGCUCAAUCGGAGCAACGUAGGAUGUGAAAAGUCCAAAAUACCCUUACUGUUUUAAAUAUUUCCCAGCAGUCCGUUUCAUCAGUUAAGUCCAGUUUAUCACGUUUUUUGACUAGGAUCCGUACUGAUUUAGCUCUGGGCCAAAACAUGAAAGUUGUAUUAUUCUUAAUUGGCUUUAAAAUGCAUCUAAAAACACCUAAUUCGGACUUGUGUACACUGAGUUAUGUUCAUUACAGUGUUCUGCGUUUAAACAGCCGACGAAUUGGUUUCUGGUUUAGUAAUUCGAGAAUUUGACUAAGUUACAUUAGGAACUGGACUAAGUGACCUUCAUGAAUAUUGUAGCUCUGUGUCUUAGCUUCGAAACGGCGUAGGUUUCGUUUUAAUCCGAUAAGCGUAGCCUCGGAUAUGUUAUUUCUGCUUUUGUACGUCAAAUCUGUUUUGAACUAAAUUGAAUUUCUGCACUUGUACUUAAUACGAUUCUUGUUAUUAUGAUAUUGUGAGCCUAUGGAACGGCUCUUGACAUGAAUUGCUGAUAUGUAUAAUGUUGGGUUGUGUUUGAGAAAAACAAUGAAGCCUAAAAGGCUGGAAAAUUAGGUAAACACAAAGGGCAUGCUGCCCGAAUUUUUACUCGAGGACUAGAAAACUAUAUUAGCGACUUGAGUGAAGGUUAAGUACUUAUUACUUGAACUAGCGAGAACCUUGGCCACUAUGUUUCUUGAGUGUUAUACGUUAGGACUUGGACGAACUUGUACCCUUGAGAAAUGAAAUAAUGAUUGCUCGAAGUAUGUUUUCCUUGUACUUUCAACUCGCAAGACAAUUUCAAGUAUAAAUAUUACAAAGUUUUACUGUUUAAAAAGGCGAGCAAGUGUUUCACGACUACUGUCCGAGUGAAUUUCAAUUUCUUGAUUCUUAUUGAACGAAACGUCUAAGUUUCGAACUCUAGUCAUGUUUCAAAGUUCUCAAAUUGAGUUUUAUCGCAGAUUUGGACUCCGAACUCGGAGUAUAACCUGAGAGUGACCAGUAAAAGCACUAUAUCUUUUGGUGAGUGCUUUCAAAUACUGAAUUGAACUUGAUACUUGUACUUGAUACGUGCCAAUAUGAUUACAUGCCAUAUGCGUGAAUUGUUAGGGCAAGAGUGUACUUUAUCGCACUUGCCCUUACAUGAUAUAUACUUGUUUAUUGUUGCAAUUGACUUGACAUACUUGUUAUGAUGCGCGCACUUCCUGGAAUUCCAGAAACCCUGUGGCAAGUUACUCUAGUCGAGCCGGCAGGGGCUUGGUCGGUUGGGUAACGAGCCCUGGGUCUCUUGCUUUGUCGAGUGGAGUGAUAUCUCCUCGACUAAUUGGUAUACUCGAGUAUUACCACCCGUGUUUAUUGAGGAUUUUGGGCCCAGUAGGGGGUGUGAAUGGUGGACGGAGAGUAGUGUAAGUGGUGUUCUACUGGAUUGGUUCCUUUACUUGAAAGUUGACGGAGUGUCAACUACUAUGUGAUCAAGCCCUGAUGAUGAAUGGAAGUUGGCUCCUGAGAGCCAUCCGUAUCCUUAUGCUUUGGAAUGAUUAUUGUUUAUUGGAUUAUUGUUUCUUCUGAAAACUUUUACACUCGCUCAUUUUGAGAUUGCUACUUGAAGUGUUAUUGCUCACUUUAUGAACUUUCAUGCUCGUUACUUUGCUAUAUCGAAAACUAGUACUUAUAAAUAAUGGUCAAUUUGCUAUUUGGAACCUCACUGGGCUUUUAGCUCACACCACGCUAUUUGUUUUCCUUACAGGGGUACGAGUGAGCGUGAGA